UACGGAGGGUGCAAGCGUUGUCCGGAGUUAUUGGGUUUAAAGGGUGCGUAGGUGGCCCGUUAAGUCCGGGGUGAAAGCCCACUGCUCAACAGUGGAACUGCCCUGGAAACUGGAGAACUUGAGUACAGACGAGGGCGGCGGAAUGGAUGGUGUAGCGGUGAAAUGCAUAGAUACCAUCCAGAACCCCGAUUGCGAAGGCAGCUGCCUAGACUGUAACUGACGCUGAGGCACGAAAGCGUGGGGAGCGAACAGG
RNAcentral lists this ribosomal RNA (253 nucleotides) under uncultured bacterium. Its description in RNAcentral is "partial 16S ribosomal RNA". It matches the Rfam family "Bacterial small subunit ribosomal RNA", at positions 524 to 776 of the family's 1533-position model. The record is from RNAcentral.